UGAGAGUGUGUUUGAAUGAGUGUGUGUGCUGACAGCAGCCGGCAGAGCUAACAUUCAUCUGUUUCACUGGUUUGGAAUAAAUGAAAAGCUUCAAAUUCCGGAUAUUUACAUGAACCAGUAACGUUUGCUGUCCUCUGUCCCAGCGAUGCCCUGUGUACAAACCCAGUAUGCAUCCCUGCCCCAUGACACCUUCUUCAACUCUGAGUUCGUGAAUACUGACUUCAGUGCCAAACUGGUGAUGGACAUCAGUGGCCAAAAAGACCAGCUGUCUACGUCUUCGUUGCCCAGCAUCAAUACCUUGGUGGGGAAUGGCUAUGUGGGGGAGUUUGAUGCUUAUUCCUGCAAGAUUACCACCUCUCCUCCCACCUCCACAGUCUCAUUCAACCACGCCACAAUAGCUGAAAGCUCCGGCCCCCAGAUGCAGAACCAGACCUUCAAGCUGGACGAUCUCCAGGUGUAUGGUUGUUACCCAGGCUCCUUUGCUCUCAGCUGCCUCGAUGAAACACUGUCGUCAUGUGGCUCAGACUACUAUGGCAGCCCAGUUUAUGCUGCUGCUUCUCCUCCAACACCAGGCUUUCAGACCCAGUCUGCUCCUGUCUGGGAUUCCCCUUUCAGCCCCUAUCCCUCAGCUCCCCCCUCCUCUGUGGCUGAUAAGGCUGCCAUGGCUCAGCAGCUCUCCUUUUUUACCUUCAGCCCUGCACCGGAGCAGCACUCCCCACUGGGGCAUCAUCAGGAUGCUCAGUCAGGCCAGGAGGACCCUUUCUUUUUGUCUCACCAGCAGCAUGUUUCUCCACUUCAUUGUCCCCCCAUGUCACUGGAGCAAGGACCUCUGGAAAGCCCCAGGGUAGUGGAGGCGGCCAUGAUGUCUCCUAAAAGCCACAACCCAGGAUCUAGUGAGGGCCGCUGUGCAGUUUGUGGCGACAAUGCAUCCUGUCAGCACUAUGGAGUCCGCACCUGUGAGGGCUGCAAAGGUUUCUUCAAGCGAACUGUACAGAAAAAUGCAAAGUAUGUGUGCCUUGCCAAUAAAGACUGUCCAGUGGACAAGAGGAGGAGAAACCGCUGCCAGUUCUGCCGUUUCCAGAAAUGUCUUGCUGUGGGAAUGGUCAAAGAAGUUGUUCGCAAAGAUAACCUCAAGGGUCGCCGGGGUCGUCUGCCAUCUAAACCCAAGACUGUGGCCGAGGCUUCGUCCACGACCCCCAGUGAAAACAUCAUAUCCACUCUUGUCAGGGCACACUUAGAAUCAAACCCAACCAUUGGAAAGCUGGAUUACUCCAAGUACCAGGAGACAGUGGACAACCUGAAAGAAAAGGAGGAUGCUGGCGACAUCCAGCAGUUUUAUGAUCUGCUCACCGGUGCCUUGGAUGUGAUCAGAAACUGGGCUGAAACCAUCCCAGGAUUCACUGAUUUCUGCACAGAGGACCAGGAACUGCUCCUUGAAUCUGCCUUUGUUGAGCUCUUCAUCCUCCGUCUUGCAUACAGAUCAAAUCCAGAGAAGAGUAAGUUAAUCUUCUGCAAUGGCGUGGUCCUCCACCGACUGCAGUGCGUUCGCAGUUUUGGUGACUGGAUCGACUCCAUCAUGGAUUUCUCCCAGAGCCUUCACCGCAUGAACUUAGACGUCUCCUUGUUUGCCUGCCUUGCAGCUCUUGUCAUCAUCACAGAUCGCCAUGGCCUCAAAGAGCCCAGACGGGUCGAGGACUUUCAGAAUCGUCUCAUCACUUCUUUAAGGGAACACGUCAGCGGAAACGGAUCCGAACCGAGCAGGACCCAGCCCAACUAUCUCUCUCGUCUUCUGGGUAAGCUCCCUGAACUGAGGACUCUGUGCACACAAGGCCUGCAGCGUAUCUUCUACCUGAAACUGGAGGACCUGGUCCCUCCUCCACCAAUUGUGGAGAAAAUCUUCCUGGAUACUCUGCCUUUCUGAAAAAGCACAUGAGCACAAAUGUGUUAUUUAUCAAAAUGAUAGACACACAGGAGGUGGAAAGCGCCUAAUGUGAGAUUUUAUCUCCUGGUGAACCUCCUUUUAUCACACUGACCUGAGUGCUGACAGAUGUCUGACAUUGUUCAAGAGACCAUUAUUUUUCUAACAUUAACUUUUAAAUUGAUGAUGGUGCCUGUUUGAGUGCUACAUAAAGAUUUAUUUCACGUCCAUGAAACAUGGACAGAACUGACAUGGUAUAAACAGUUCAGGACAGUUUAUAUAUAUAUUUUCGUGUGCAUGUGAAAAAUGACUUUAUUGCUGUGCUGGCUGUGUGAAUGUUGCUAUGCAGCUUAAAAGACAUGGGUAUUUGGAUAGAUGCAAUGCAGCGUCACAUACUCCGAAACACACUAAUUUCUUAAAAAGCAUGUUUUUGAAAUUGCUUUUUGAGCCUACCAAGAAACUGAGGAAGGAGAUUAUUUAGUAGAAAUAAAAACAGACAGAAUCACAUGUCCUGUUUGUUAAAAAGAACUGAGGAGUUCUACUUUUCAAAAGGGAAAAAUGUACUGAUUUCUUUGUGUCACAAAAGAUAGUUUUAGUCAUAAUCUUGCUCCUGUGGAAGGUCUCGGACCAAAGUUUACUCUUACUUUGAUACUACCAGUUGCAAACCUUAUUGCCUUAAACUAAACAAAAUGUUCAGUCAUAACUCUUGUGCUGCCAUUUUGCAAAACCUUGUAAAGGCUGAUGCUGGCAAAGCUACUGUCGAACCACAUGUCCCUGUAAUAACGUACUUCUUGGGCUUUUGAGAAAAAGAAUGAAUUUAUUGAAUGAAAAUGCAAAGUGCCUUUUACAAAGCCUCAGUCCCUGAACCACAUUAAGUGACACUAAGUGAAUUUUCAUUCCAAACAUCACAUACAGUGAGCCCCAUUUGUUAAAGACACGAAAAAAUAUGUCCCAUCAGAAUUAAUAUUGAACUAAUCACUGAUGAAUGUCCUUUCAGGUCUGUGCCAGCUUUUGAUAUGAAGUGCCUGAGUGUCAGUACAGUUUGACAAAGAGCAUACAAUACUUGAAUGCACACUUCACGCAGUUACACUGGAAGGGCAUCAAGUGAUGACAGGUGGUUUAGGAGCUACAAGAACGAAAUCCUGCUCACAUGUUCCUGAGGCAGUGAAAGCUGUAAACUUCAGUAGAACCACCAAGCUUGAGAUUAAAGUAUGUCAGAACACAUUUCAGAGUGUUAAAUCCACAAUUAGAGUAAACCAUUAUUUUAAUGCAUUGAAAAACCCUGCACUGCUAGAAAAUGCAAGAGCAGACACAGAUAUUUUAUGUAUGUCAUCAACUGGUUUCUUGUGUUUGGCUAUUUCAUGCAGAUACUUCACCCUUCAUAUGUUUUGAACCUCAACUCUGUGUGUUUGUAAAAGUUCCUCCUGCUGUCUUCCACAUUUUUCUGAAUCAUGCAGUUUUUUUUUAUAUGUUGGAUUUUUUUUUUAAAUUUUCAUCUCAAAACGAACUAAAGAAAUACAGUAUCUUAAGAAAUCACAGUGAAAUGUGAUGAGAAGAUGAGCAGCUACGAGCACUUCAAACAGUGUUCAAACAGUAUGAAGAAUAUUUCAUUUCUCCUACUGUAUGAGUUUUGUUUGAGACGUGUGUUGACUUUGAAAAUACUGCCAGGGCUUUUGUAAAAUGGUGCAAAAGUAUUCAGAGACAGAGAAUAUUUGAUAAUAAAUGUUUUUUAAAAAUACGCCUCCGGCUGCCUUCAUUUAAAUGUCUGGAAAUGGAGUGAUAUAUUUCCUGUGAGUCAUGUGUCCUGUCUUGCAUCAUAGUCUCUACACUGUCUCUUCAGAUAUAUUGGUAGUUUCGUCUGGUUUCAGGUGUGAAAGAUGAAUGUUAAAUUUUUCCAUAUGUCUGAGUUUAAUUUCUUUGUGACAUAUUUUCAGUUUUCAUUCUAGCUUUGCCAUUAUUUUCAGUUUUAUUAAAUUAACAUGAAAUGAUAUGCAACGAAAUAUGAAUUCAUCUGUAAAUAUUUCAAACGUCAUAGGUUGUAUAUUUUGUAUAAUUCUAUCAUAGGAAGCAAUUACUUUGUCCCUUUAUACUUUAUGACUUCCCUAUCCUCUCGGUAGCACUCAUCCCCAAAACCUUACCUACAUUUUCCCACUGAAGAUGUAUAUCUAAAAACAAGUCAAGAAGAUUCUGUUCCUUUAUUAUUGUGCAAAAGGUCGUCUCUUUGAGUACUGUUUCUUUAAGACUGUUGUUAAUUAUCGCACAUGUGAAUUCCCACACUGCCGCGGUCCUUGAAUGCACCGCAGACGUGUCGGUAGAUCCGGAGAAAACAACUUAGUGACUCCGCAGUGUGCGUCUAAAAGCAUGUCUCAACAACUCUUGGAUGGAUUGCCAUGAAACAGACAUUCAUGUUCCUCUCAGGAUGAGCUGCCAUCACCAGGUCAAACCUUUUAUAUGUCCAAUGCUUCUGUUUAUGGCCAAAUGUGAAUUUCCCUUAGGGGGAUGAAUAAAGUAUCUAUCUACCUACCUAACAAAUCUGUAAAUAAUAUGAGUACGUUCACAUUUUGCACAAACUGUAAAUAAUAUGUGUACAUUCACCACAGCCAUAUCUUUAUAUAUGUUGCAAGAUUCAUAUGAACAUCUACCACAUGUAAAUUCUGAUCCCUUGUGCCCUCUAAUUUAUAUUAUAUUUAUAUUUUGACUGUACUUUCUUUCUUUCUUUCUUUCUUUCUUUUUUCGAGCACCACACAGAGCCUAAAACAAAAAUGCCUGUAAUCUAAUGACGUUCCCAUCAGCCAGAUAUGUACUUUCUGUUUUGUGCUAAUUAAUGUUAGAAUGCUAACAUGCUAAACUAAGACGAUUAACAUGACAAACAUUAUACCUGCAAAACACUAGCAUUAUCAUUGCGAGCAUGCUGAUGUUAGCAUUUAGCUCAAAGCACCACUGGGCUCAAAAACAGUCUGAUGUAAAAUAAGCUAUAACAGGGUUUGGCUACAUAGCCAAAACUUGUUAAUAAGAUCCAGUCAUUGUUGGUUUUCUUAGAAUAAAACUAUGGAAUAUCACCAGAUUUGUCCUGUAAGGAUAGUCUAGAAAUUGUCUUACCAGUCAGUCGAUACAGAGCAGGAAACAAAGCUUAUCUUUAUUUACACAGGACCUACUGUGCUGCUGCUUGUUACAUAUUAAUGAUGUGAUGAAAAGUGACCAAAAGUAGUCCUUCAUCUCCUUUUCACUGGGUCUGUGUUGUUUUGUCACACAUGGCGUUAACGUUGGCAACAUCUCUGACAAGGAGAAGAUGACACCGUCCCAACUCUCAGCCACAGUAGACUGCAGCACCGACUGCAUUCAGCGACUCGACACCCGAUCCUACUGUACACCACGUACCGGUCAUCUGGAUAUUGGUGUUGGCAGACAGAGUGGAAAAAAAGGGACAAGGGGAGAAAAGAGGAGCUUGCAUUGAGGUGUUCAUUAUGUUACAAAAUUGCAAGCAUGCUGCCCAAGUCAGAUGUAAUGGGAACAGCAGAGGAGUACAGUUGCAUAAGGAGGAUUUGGAUGAAUGCAGCAGCUCAGAGAGUUCCUUUGGUUGUACCUAGAGCUGUUUUUUUAUCGGGCCGCCGAACUGUCUACUGUGCUAAUCCUUUUUGACUUCCAGUGUGACUUUUCAUUCUAUAUGGUCACGUAUCCUUGACAGGUCAGACAUGUUUCCCAUUCAAAUCAGCCAAACCUAAACUCAUGAGACAUCCCCUGUAAAUAAACAGACAGGUACAUAACAAAUAUUACGUAGAUGACUCCACACGGAGCACAAAGGGUCACUGAAUGGUUUGUAUGCCAAUAAUAUGAAUCACAUGGCCUGAACAGUCACCAGGUCUAAACCUGCCUGAACACCUAUGGGAGACUUUGAACCACCAUGUUAGUCCAGCUCAGUAUCUUUGCAAUUAUGUCCAUAUUUGACAAUUCUGCACCUCACUGUUUAUGUCCAGUGCCAACGCUCUGUGCCAAUGCAGAGAGUAGUGUGCCCCUUAGGUAGUCUGGUGGAAAGUAAGGGUGUGGAAGUCAGAGUGGUGAAUGGGCAUUUACCAUGUCUGACUUCUACGCCAAAGACUGGAGUUCAUGUCCCAUCACAGAGCUCAUAUUCAUGUUUACCUUUUUUUUUUCCAUGACCAUGAUCCUUCCUUAACCUUAACCUUAAAAUAAAUUGGUGGCCUAACCGUAACCAUACCUUAAACAUACUUUAAGGUUAAUUUCAACAAUCCUUUCCUAAUCUUUACUGUGUAGAAUAUAUGCCAGAAAUUGUAGAAAGUGCACAUUUUAAAGACAUUGGGAUUGCAUGUAAACCAACAGCAUUAUCGCUGAAUAUGUAAUCCAGUAAUCCCUGUUUGCAGAAUUGUCAAAUAUUGAUGUUGCUGCCUGGCUAUAGGGUUGGUGAUACAGUGCCCUCCACCAUCAUCAUCCAAACACAUCUUUUAGAGGAAUGUUGUAUAUCAAGGAUCACCAAAAUGGCUCUAGAGGAGUGUGUGGCUAAAAACCUAAGACAUUGUGCUGUUUUUUUCUGUACUUGUCACCCUUCUGUAUCUCAUGUUUGAACUUGAACUCUUUUUCCAAAAGUGGAAAGUCACCAUCUGGAGCCGCCAUUGGCCCCUGAACUUUUGACCAGCACCCUGACAUGCAACACUCAGCAUUCAGGAACAAAGUGUAGCCUUACACCCUGAACGCUCGAGACAUUAUGUUCUGACCAGUAAUUUGUGGUUCACUUGUCAUCGUGAUUUGUUGCACGUUUUACACUUUGCUUCUGCACCUUCUCUUACUAUUCAGCAAAUUUUUGAGAACAUAGGAAAUGUUUAGUACAGCAAGAAUUUCUCUUGUAACUCAGUACACUUGAUCAAGAACUGUUUUUAUGUACAAUUUUGAGGUUCUUGGACUCUACUUGAGUAUUUUACGUUACUUAAAACUUGAAUUCAUAACCACCAAACCAAUGAUGUGUUCUCAAAGUAUGAUAUGUUUUCAUAAAUGAAAUUACCCAACAGUACAUAAAGUAGUUAAAAGCUUACAGCCAUGCUAGCAGGUCUUUGAGACUGUUCUUGAGAACAGCGGUGCAUUGAGCGAAAUGCAAAUGUCAGAAUGCUAACAUGCUGAUAUUUAGCAGGCACCAUAUUCACCAUCUUAGCUCCGUGUGUUAGCAAUAUACUUGGUUUGUUCACCAAAAUUUCAUGGUAAUUUUUCCAAUACUUGUUGUUGUUGGUAUUUCAGUCCAUACCAAAGUGGUGGACAGACCAACCACCUGUCAUUACCAUCUGUAGAGCUGCUGGCAAAGCUAAAAAUAAUCCAGUAAAAUAUUAUACUGUAUAGUAAUACACUUUUACAAGUAAGUACUUUUCCUUUUGAUAUAUUACAUGUAUUUUGCUGUUAAUACUACCCUAGUUUUAUUCAAGAAAAACUUUAUGCUCUAUUUAUAACUGCUAAUAUUUGAAUGUGCAAACAGGAAUAAAUGAACACAU
Molecule: RNA transcript, 7407 nt
Organism: Toxotes jaculatrix (banded archerfish)
Lineage: Eukaryota; Metazoa; Chordata; Actinopteri; Toxotidae
Gene name: probable nuclear hormone receptor HR38
Exons: 8
Source: RefSeq, a predicted model, not a curated record